GUAAGUAAGCCUAACACAUGCAAGUCGAACGGCAGCACAGAGGAGCUUGCUCCUUGGGUGGCGAGUGGCGGACGGGUGAGGAAUACAUCGGAAUCUACUCUGUCGUGGGGGAUAACGUAGGGAAACUUACGCUAAUACCGCAUACGACCUACGGGUGAAAGCAGGGGAUCUUCGGACCUUGCGCGAUUGAAUGAGCCGAUGUCGGAUUAGCUAGUUGGCGGGGUAAAGGCCCACCAAGGCGACGAUCCGUAGCUGGUCUGAGAGGAUGAUCAGCCACACUGGAACUGAGACACGGUCCAGACUCCUACGGGAGGCAGCAGUGGGGAAUAUUGGACAAUGGGCGCAAGCCUGAUCCAGCCAUACCGCGUGGGUGAAGAAGGCCUUCGGGUUGUAAAGCCCUUUUGUUGGGAAAGAAAUCCAGCUGGCUAAUACCCGGUUGGGAUGACGGUACCCAAAGAAUAAGCACCGGCUAACUUCGUGCCAGCAGCCGCGGUAAUACGAAGUG
This 505-nucleotide ribosomal RNA is filed under the name uncultured bacterium. RNAcentral's name for it is "bacterial SSU rRNA". It matches the Rfam family "Bacterial small subunit ribosomal RNA", at positions 39 to 532 of the family's 1533-position model. The record is from RNAcentral.